AUGCCAUGGAAUUUGAUCUACUUUUUCUUUUUUCAAAUGAGAAACGAUCGUAUUCGCUAGAAUCCCCUUUGAUUUCUAAGUAUCUUGCCUUUAACUUACAUUGUUAAGAAUUUCACUACUUUCAUAUUAGCAAUUCAUGGUUUCUGAUUGUUGCGAAUUGUCAUUCUUUUCUUGGCUCCAUAUCAUCCGCGUGUUGUUCAUUCUGCUCUCUUCAUCUUGACAUCUUUUAGAGUGGAUCGUCAACACUUCACACCAAAUCACUUUUUGAAAUUAAAAAAA
Molecule: non-coding RNA, 279 nt
Organism: Paramuricea clavata
Lineage: Eukaryota; Metazoa; Cnidaria; Anthozoa; Malacalcyonacea; Plexauridae
Source: the annotation of a GenBank genome assembly